This 253-nucleotide unclassified non-coding RNA is filed under the name uncultured Dehalococcoidia bacterium. Its description in RNAcentral is "contains 16S-23S intergenic spacer region". It matches the Rfam family "Bacterial small subunit ribosomal RNA", at positions 524 to 776 of the family's 1533-position model. Lineage: Bacteria; Bacillati; Chloroflexota; Dehalococcoidia. The record is from RNAcentral.
UACGUAGGUGGCGAGCGUUGUCCGGAUUUACUGGGCGUAAAGGGCUUGUAGGCGGUUCGUUAAGUCUGGUGUGAAAUCUCCCGGCUCAACUGGGAGGGGUCAUCGGAUACUGGCGAACUUGAGGGAGGCAGAGGAAAGCAGAAUUCCCGGUGUAGCGGUGAAAUGCGUAGAUAUCGGGAGGAAUACCAGUGGCGAAGGCGGCUUUCUGGGCCUUCCCUGACGCUGAGGAGCGAAAGCGUGGGGAGCAAACCGG